GACGAACGCUGGCGGCGUGCCUAACACAUGCAAAUCGAGCGAAGAACUUCGGUUCUUAGCGGCGGACGGGUGAGUAACACGUGGGUAACCUGCCUCAAAGAGGGGGAUAGCCUCCCGCAAGGGAGAUUAAUACCGCAUAAUAUUAGAUCUUCACAUGGAGAUUUAAUUAAAGGAGUAAUCCGCUUUGAGAUGGGCCCGCGGCGCAUUAGCUAGUUGGUGAGGUAACGGCCCACCAAGGCGACGAUGCGUAGCCGACCUGAGAGGGUGAUCGGCCACAUUGGAACUGAGACACGGUCCAGACUCCUACGGGAGGCAGCAGUGAGGAAUCUUCCACAAUGGACGAAAGUCUGAUGGAGCGACACCGCGUGAAGGAUGAAGGCCUAACGGUUGUAAACUUCUUUUCUGAGGGAGCAUAAUGAGAGUACUUCAGGAAUAAGGAACGGCAAAUCACGUGCCAGCCGCCCCGUAA
This 469-nucleotide ribosomal RNA is filed under the name uncultured bacterium. RNAcentral's name for it is "partial 16S ribosomal RNA". It matches the Rfam family "Bacterial small subunit ribosomal RNA", at positions 28 to 523 of the family's 1533-position model. The record is from RNAcentral.